This 492-nucleotide ribosomal RNA is filed under the name uncultured bacterium. RNAcentral's name for it is "partial 16S ribosomal RNA". It matches the Rfam family "Bacterial small subunit ribosomal RNA", at positions 29 to 507 of the family's 1533-position model. The record is from RNAcentral.
AGUGAACGCUGGCGGUAGGCCUAACACAUGCAAGUCGAACGGCAGCACAGUAAGAGCUUGCUCUUACGGGUGGCGAGUGGCGGACGGGUGAGGAAUACAUCGGAAUCUACUUUUUCGUGGGGGAUAACGUAGGGAAACUUACGCUAAUACCGCAUACGACCUACGGGUGAAAGCAGGGGAUCUUCGUACCUUUCGCGAUUGAAUGAGCCGAUGUCGGAUUAGCUAGUUGGCGGGGGAAAGGCCCACCAAGGCGACGAUCCGUAGCUGGUCUGAGAGGAUGAUCAGCCACACUGGAACUGAGACACGGUCCAGACUCCUACGGGAGGCAGCAGUGGGGAAUAUUGGACAAUGGGCGCAAUCCUGAUCCAGCCAUACCGCGUGGGUGAAGAAGGCCUUCGGGUUGUAAAGCCCUUUUGUUGGGAAAGAAAAGCAGCAGGUUAAUACGCCGCUGUUCUGACGGUACCCAAAGAAUAAGCACCGGCUAACUUCGUG